AAUAUUGGACAAUGGGCGAAAGCCUGAUCCAGCCAUGCCGCGUGUGUGAAGAAGGUCUUCGGAUUGUAAAGCACUUUAAGUUGGGAGAAAGAGUUGUAGGCUAAUCGCUUGCAAUUUUGACGUUACCACCAGAAUAAGCACCGGCUAACUUCGUGCCAGCAACCGAGGUAAUACAGAGGGUGCAAGCGUUAAUCGGAAUUACUGGGCGUAAAGCGCGCGUAGGUGGUUAGUUAAGUUGGAAGUGAAAGCCCCGGGAUCAACCUGGGAACUGCUUUAAAAACUGGCAAGCUAGAGUAUGGCAGAGGGUGGUGGAAUUUCCUGUGUAGCGGUGAAAUGCGUAGAUAUAGGAAGGAACACCAGUGGCGAAGGCGACCACCUGGGCUAAUACUGACACUGAGGUGCGAAAGCGUGGGGAGCAAACAGG
RNAcentral lists this ribosomal RNA (424 nucleotides) under uncultured bacterium. RNAcentral's name for it is "partial 16S ribosomal RNA". It matches the Rfam family "Bacterial small subunit ribosomal RNA", at positions 360 to 776 of the family's 1533-position model. The record is from RNAcentral.